GAAAGAGAACCUGAAACCGUGUGCUUACAAGAAGUUCGAGCCCGUUAAUGGGUGAGAGCGUGCCUUUUGUAGAAUGAACCGGCGAGUUACGUUUACGUGCGAGGUUAAGUUGAAGAGACGGAGCCGUAGGGAAACCGAGUCUGAAAAGGGCGGUUAAGUACGUAGAUGUAGACCCGAAACCAAGUGACCUACCCAUGAGCAGGUUGAAGGUGCGGUAAAACGCACUGGAGGACCGAACCAGGACACGUUGAAAAGUGUUUGGAUGACUUGUGGGUAGCGGAGAAAUUCCAAACGAACUUGGAGAUAGCUGGUUCUCUCCGAAAUAGCUUUAGGGCUAGCGUCGGUCGCGAGACUCUUGGAGGUAGAGCACUGUUUGAUUGAGGGGUCCAUCCCGGAUUACCAAUCUCAGAUAAACUCCGAAUGCCAACGAGUUAAGACCGGCAGUCAGACUGCGAGUGCUAAGAUCCGUAGUCGAAAGGGAAACAGCCCAGACCACCAGCUAAGGUCCCCAAAUAAUUGUUAAGUGGAAAAGGAUGUGGGGUUGCACAGACAACUAGGAUGUUAGCUUAGAAGCAGCUAUUCAUUCAAAGAGUGCGUAAUAGCUCACUAGUCGAGUGACCCUGCGCCGAAAAUGUACCGGGGCUGAAACAAUUUACCGAAGCUGUGGAUCCCUUAGGGGAUGGUAGGAGAGCGUUCUAUGUGCGCAGAAGGUGUACCGCAAGGAGCGCUGGAGUGCAUAGAAGUGAGAAUGCCGGUAUGAGUAGCGUAAGACAGGUGAGAAUCCUGUCCACCGUAAGACUAAGGAUUCCAGGGGAAGGCUCGUCCGCCCUGGGUUAGUCGGGACCUAAGGAGAGACCGAUAGGUGUAUCCGAUGGGCAACAGGUUGAUAUUCCUGUACUAGAGUAUUGAGUGAAGGAGGGACGCAGCAGGCUAACUAGAGCGUGCGAUUGGAAGAGCACGUCCAAGCAGUGAGGUGAGGACUGAGUCAAAUGCUUAGUUCUGCGCCACCAAGCUGUGACGGGGAGCGAAGUUUAGUAGCGAAGCUAGUGAUGUCACUCUGCCAAGAAAAGCUUCUAGCGUUAAUGAAUACUCUACCCGUACCGCAAACCGACACAGGUAGUCGAGGCGAGUAGCCUCAGGUGAGCGAGCGAACUCUCGUUAAGGAACUCGGCAAAAUGGCCCCGUAACUUCGGGAGAAGGGGCGCUGGCGAUAAGUCAGCCGCAGUGAAAAGGCCCAAGCAACUGUUUAUCAAAAACACAGCUCUCUGCGAAAUCGUAAGAUGAAGUAUAGGGGGUGACGCCUGCCCGGUGCUGGAAGGUUAAGAGGAGCGCUUAGACGUUUGUCGAAGGUGUGAAUUGAAGCCCCAGUAAACGGCGGCCGUAACUAUAACGGUCCUAAGGUAGCGAAAUUCCUUGUCGGGUAAGUUCCGACCCGCACGAAAGGCGUAAUGAUUUGGGCACUGUCUCAACGAGAGACUCGGUGAAAUUUUAGUACCUGUGAAGAUGCAGGUUACCCGCGACAGGACGGAAAGACCCCAUGGAGCUUUACUGCAGUUUGAUAUUGCGUAUCUGUUACACAUGUACAGGAUAGGUAGGAGCCAAGGAAGAGUGAACGCUAGUUUACUUGGAGGCGUUGUUGGGAUACUACCCUUGUGUGAUGGCUACUCUAACCCGGUAGGUUGAUCAUCUACGGAGACAGUGUCUGACGGGCAGUUUGACUGGGGCGGUCGCCUCCUAAAGCGUAACGGAGGCGCCCAAAGGUUCCCUCAGACUGGUUGGAAAUCAGUCGUAGAGUGUAAAGGUAUAAGGGAGCUUGACUGCGAGACAGACAAGUCGAGCAGGGACGAAAGUCGGGCUUAGUGAUCCGGUGGUACCGUAUGGAAGGGCCAUCGCUCAACGGAUAAAAGCUACCCUGGGGAUAACAGGCUUAUCUCCCCCAAGAGUUCACAUCGACGGGGAGGUUUGGCACCUCGAUGUCGGCUCGUCGCAUCCUGGGGCUGUAGUCGGUCCCAAGGGUUGGGCUGUUCGCCCAUUAAAGCGGCACGCGAGCUGGGUUCAGAACGUCGUGAGACAGUUCGGUCCCUAUCCGUCGCGGGCGAAGGAAAUUUGAGAGGAUCUGCUCCUAGUACGAGAGGACCAGAGUGGACUUACCGCUGGUGUACCAGUUGUUCUGCCAAGAGCAUCGCUGGGUAGCUAAGUAGGGAGGGGAUAAACGCUGAAAGCAUCUAAGUGUGAAGCCCCCCUCAAGAUGAGAUUUCCCAUAACGUUCAGUUAGU
This 2276-nucleotide ribosomal RNA is filed under the name Streptococcus mutans. RNAcentral's name for it is "bacterial LSU rRNA". It matches the Rfam family "Bacterial large subunit ribosomal RNA", at positions 540 to 2829 of the family's 2925-position model. The record is from RNAcentral. Lineage: Bacteria; Bacillati; Bacillota; Bacilli; Lactobacillales; Streptococcaceae.